AUGAAUAUUUCCAUGGUAUUAAUAAGGUGUUGUUUUAUUAGGAUCCGAUCAUUGAAAAUACAGGAAACUACCGUGAAUUAUAUUAUUCACUUGAAUCUCCGGUUGGUUUUUGUAUGUUUGAUCGAAGGAAGAUUGCAUCUACGAUGGCGAGCUUUGCCCAAUAGAACUGUGGAUGGUGUGGAUACGGCGUGGCCAGCCGUGAACACCACCAUAGAAGACCCUUGUGAAGAUCCAUUCAUAACAGAUAAGACAUAGAAAUAGAUACACGCUAACCUACCCGGGUAGUAGUAAGAGAAACACACAUAUCCGGAUAUCCCCCCCCUUGAACUCGACAUUCCUCGACCGAACAACUCCUUUCCCAAGGAGUACUGUAGCUGGGGAAUCCAGCUACAAAGGACUUAUUCUUUUGAUUUUGUUUGUUUGUUAUUAUUGUUAUUAUGUUAUUUUCAAAAGCUUUAUUUUGUACCAAAUGUAAAUGUUUAUGAUGAAAGGCAUUAAAAUAGCUCAUCUAUUCAACCAACACCAACUCCCUUUGUGAGUCAUUAGUGUUUAACUUCUUUAAGGACCUAGAGUGAUGCUAGCAUCCUAUCUGCCCCUUCCGGCUAAGACCACGGGUGCUACAUUUGUAUAUAUAAUAUCACGGCCAAAAGCUCUGUGCGCCUCCGGAUGGCCGUAGCGGGGAGCUCUCAUAGGGAUUGGGCUUCUCGGGGUUUGUUUACCGGCGUUGCUAUGUAUCCGGUCUUGUGUGUUCCAAUGGUUUAUUAGGUAGGCCUAUCUAAUAAAUCUCUGUCUAUUCAAUACUUCAUUCACU
RNAcentral lists this long non-coding RNA (811 nucleotides) under Gadus morhua (Atlantic cod). Its description in RNAcentral is "lncRNA (ENSGMOG00000029776.1)". The record is from RNAcentral. Lineage: Eukaryota; Metazoa; Chordata; Actinopteri; Gadiformes; Gadidae.